CAAAAUGCAAGCCUGGAUCUCAUAGGACACUGCAUUAGGUGCCAAAAGACUCCUCCGGGGAUUGGCUUGCCACGCUCCACAUCCUCACACUCUGCUGGGAUUGCAACUGUCUGCCCGGCCCCAGCUGGUGGCCCUGCACUGGGAAGGAGUCAGAACAGGGGCUGUGGAAGAAUGAGAACAAAUCAAAGAAAACAGACUGAUUAAACUGGAGGAAGAAAGAAAUUUCCUCAGGAGAAAGGAUCCUUUCCAUCUGGACAACUGACAGGAGAUAAGAGAAAGACGAUAGGACCAUCUCAGCCUGAAUGGUGACACUUGUAACUUCUCAUAUUCCACGGCAAGAACUAGUCUUUUGGUCCUACCUAGAUGCAGACUCUACCACAUACAUCAACAAACAUUUCCUGAGUGCUAAUAUGUGCUGAGGCCUGCCCUGAUGCAAGGGAUACAGAAAUGAACAAAACAUAGUUCCAGUCUUUUCAGAGCUUUUAAUAGCACAGUUUUUCAUCUGGAUUCCAGAACCCCUAUCUAUACAUGUGGCUUCAAUGGGGAAGAUUGCUCAGUCCUUAUGCCAUCCUCUGGGUCUUGAUAUGUUUGCUUGACUGUACCUUGGCCCACCAGGUCCCUGGGUGUCCUGAAAUGGUCUGUGCGGAAUUGAGACUGUCACAUGGGCCAUUUGAGCAUCACUUUGGCGCUCUUGCAGAUGCAUGGCCUCCAGGUGCAAGGUGGUACAAUCACUUCAUCACUAUCAAAGGCCUCCUGUGUUCCUCCCAGCACUUCUAUGUCAUCUACUACUUAGAGAUCUUGGAAUUCACAGUUGCAUUCUCUGCAUCAUUCUGAUGUGCUAGAUCCAAUGAAGUUGUCAAGCCCAAUUGCCUAGGCCACCUGCCUUCAUCUUUGUUACUCAACCAUUCCCACAUCAUGGUGGACAGGAAUUGCUAAGCUUUAAGUAAGGGACAGACGUCAGUUUGGGGAUCAAAUGAAGGCCCAUGCUACAAAACAUUGCGUCAAUUCCAAAAGGAACUAAUGAGAAAGAAGAUUAAAUAUCACGAGUAUCUAAAGUUCAUUUCAGUGGAUACUCAAGGAAUUGGAUUUAUACCCUUGUCUUUGAUUCAGAGUUCUUGUCUCCCAAAUAAAAACAGUGAAGCUGUUUUUUCCUUGAAAUGAAGGAUGGUCCAACAACCGGUUUUGUUUGUUUGCUUGCUUGUUUGUUUGUUUUCAUAACAUGUUUGAGUAAUUCUUCAUAUUAAAGCCAUCUGGAUUUCCUCUUUUUUCUGAACUCUGCUUCUCUUUCC
Molecule: long non-coding RNA, 1289 nt
Filed under: Equus caballus (horse)
Lineage: Eukaryota; Metazoa; Chordata; Mammalia; Perissodactyla; Equidae
Description: lncRNA (ENSECAG00000041132.2)
Source: RNAcentral